This 752-nucleotide small RNA is filed under the name Pan troglodytes (chimpanzee). Its description in RNAcentral is "processed transcript". The record is from RNAcentral. Lineage: Eukaryota; Metazoa; Chordata; Mammalia; Primates; Hominidae.
GGCGAUUCGAAGAUUCCUUUGGAGUGGAUCCAUAUAAUGUGUUAAUGGUACUUCUUUGUCUGCUCUGCAUCGUGGUUUUAGUGGCUACCGAGCUGUGGACAUAUGUACGUUGGUACACUCAGUUGAGACGUGUUUUAAUCAUCAGCUUUCUGUUCAGUUUGGGAUGGAAUUGGAUGUAUUUAUAUAAGCUAGCUUUUGCACAGCAUCAGGCUGAAGUCGCCAAGAUGGAGCCAUUAAACAAUGUGUGUGCCGAGAAGAUGGACUGGACUGGAAGUAUCUGGGAAUGGUUUAGAAGUUCAUGGACCUAUAAGGAUGACCCAUGCCAAAAAUACUAUGAGCUCUUACUAGUCAACCCUAUUUGGUUGGUCCCACCAACAAAGGCACUUGCAGUUACAUUCACCACAUUUGUAACGGAGCCAUUGAAGCAUAUUGGAAAAGGAACUGGGGAAUUUAUUAAAGCACUCAUGAAGGAAAUUCCAGCGCUGCUUCAUCUUCCAGUGCUGAUAAUUAUGGCAUUAGCCAUCCUGGUAAAGUAAUCUCACAAGCUGCCAAAGAACACAUCCCAAGUAGUAAUCACAGAUGAUGAAGCACCUUACAGGACACCUCCACCCUCAAACACGCAUGUCCAGAGAAGUAUUAAUGCCUUAAUAGACUACUGAAGGCUAACUAUUUACAUCAUUCUAAAAAUAUUUUAAGCUGUAUUACAGUGCUAUAAAUUCUCCUUUUAAGGAAAAAAGUAAUAGAUUGUUUCC